CCCCUAAUCCCUGUGUGUUAUCUUGACAAUUCCAAUCUUUACGUUGAGCUCAUGGAAAUGAACUCGCCCGGGAGAUUUCGUCAGAAUGUCUGCCCUCUGCUCGCCGGUUCCGAUGAACUCCACGAUAACCGAGCCCUUCUCCACUGUAUCGUAUGAAAUGGUAGGGCAGAUCAAUGUGCUUUCUUCGGUCGUGAAGCACCCGGAUUUUUGCAGAGCGAGAUGGCGGAUUGUUGCCGAUGCAGAGUGUAGCAGGGUCGGUGUUCAGAAGCUCGCCGGGGAGACGAGCCAGCCAGAUCCCUUGGCCGCUGUCGUAGCCACCACAAUGUUCUCUGCUUCGCACGAAGAGGUGACGACAACCUUUUACUUCUGCGAUUGCUAGCUCACCGGACUGUUGCAAAGGAAGAAUAGCACUCACCAUACUGUUGCCGAGGAAGAAUAGCAUGCCUGAGGUGCUUUUCUGGAGUCCACAUCGCUGGUGGGGUUCGAGUCGCUGUAGCCAAUCAAGGUCUCACCGUUGCCGCGGAGAUAUAUGCAUUUGUGCGUGAGUGUGCCAGCGAUGUAACUGAGCAGAUGCUUGACCGCCACGAGAUGGUCGCUGGCUAGCGCCUCCAUGAACCUGCUUAGGAACCCGACUGGGAACUCGAUGUCUGGUCGGGUGUGUACCAAGUACCUAAGGCUACCGAUGACACUGCGGUAGAACUUCGUGUCCACUGGCCUCUCCUUGUUCUCCCUGCUGUUGCAGCGGGCCUUCAUCAGGGUGUGUGUGGCGUUGCAGUCCGCCAUGCCCACUCAUUUGAGCAGCUUGCUGGCAUAGGCGACCUGGGUGAUUGUACAUCCGUCUACGCUCCUGAUUCACCUCCAGACUAUGGUGUAGCACCUUGAGGUUACUUAUGCUGAAGAGCUGCUUCAUUUCUUCCUUGAAGCAGCGCAUGUCGUGUUGCUCAACUCCGGUGAUGAUAAGGUCGUCGACGUAGAUGCCGACAAUUAGUUGUGCGUCCCUGGUCCCUCGCGCGUACACACCGUGCUCCAGGCGCUGCGCGUGUAGCUGAGCGAUGCCAAUCUCGUGUCUAGCUUGGCAUUCCAUGCCCUCUGUGCUUGCCGCAGCCCGUAUAGGGCCUUGUGUAGCCUGUACAUGCCGUAAUCAUGAUGGUCGGCGGUGAAGCCCGACGGUUGAGACACUUGAACCUCCUCCUCAAGGUCGCCGUUGAGGAAUGCCGACUUGACGUCCAUGUGGUGAACCUCCCAGCCCCGGUUCGCCGGUAGGGCAAGGCUCAGCUGCACAGACUCGAGCCUUGCCACCAGAGCGAAAACUUCCUCGAAGUCCACCGGCGCGAACCCUUCUGUCACUGGUGUUCAGAAUAACACUUUACGUUCUCCCUGCCCUUAGCCUCUCCAUGGCUUGUUCUCCAUGAUCCUGGGUUGAAGAAUACGGACAAGACAAGAAACAUCUACGGAAUAAUUUUAUUUCACAUAUACGGGGCGUUAAUUCAAAGCACUUUCAUUGAUCCCCACAACAAAUAUAACGGGUUGCAAGGCCUAGGCCUCAACCCAUACCUUACCGAACUACUCACACAUGGAGAUCAGAUGGAAUGAAGAACACAUUUUGAAGAUCGAUUGAUUGAUAAUGUCUUACAAUGGAUUAAUUGUGCGAUGCACAAUUACAAGUAUGAACUAGAGGAAGAUGAACUAUGGUGGUGAUGGUGGUGAUGGUGGCUAUGGAGAUGGUAAUGGCGACGGCUAGGGUUGAUGAGAGAGGAUGAAGGUGGCUCUGUUCUGGCUUCGCUCGCGGACGUUCUGUUGGCAUUUUGGCGUGGUCCCAUUUAUAAAAGUUGUUCAGGUGGACGAGGAGCCUCAGAAUCCACGGGAACGCCGUCUUUUGUUCUGUUUUCUCUGGUGCGCCUCCUGAUUUCUUCUAUCUCCUUUUUCACUCCUUUCCAUGUUCACACGUGAUUUCUUCCCUUUUUAGCCCAUUUCUUGUGGAAACACAUCAAAGAGAGGAUUUGUGAAAUCCUUUGCAUUCAUUAGUCAUUAGUCACAAUAUCGGAACGAAUAUCUCGGUUUUAAUGAAAUAUCUCGGUUUAAAUAAAGGGUGAAGGAAUGUAAAAAUAUCACUCAUCAGCAAGUAAUUUCUUCCUUCUCUCCUUCCCUUCUUGGGUUUGAUUUCUCCGCUGCGGCCAUGGCCAUUGAAUAUUGGCCCAGCCUCACAUUCUUCAUCCACUUCACAUGUAUUCAAUUUUUAUUGUAUACUAUAUAUACUAUACUAUAUAAUACUCUAUAUACUACCUCCAUUCACAAAUGUAACAUGUUCUAUUUUUUCUGUGAAUCGGAUGUAUAGACAUGUUUUAGUGUAUUUGUUCACUCAUUUUAGUCCUUAUGCAGUCCAUAUUGAAAUACCCAAAACAUCUUGGUAGUAUUUGUGAGCGGAGAGAGUACAUACUAUGUAUAGUUCAGCAGUACAGUACCAUGUCGACUAGUCCAGCAGUAGUCUAGAGUAGUCACGUGAGUCUCAACCUCAGCUCGACUUGUCGACUCGUAAUUCUUGGUUACAUCAAUAGGUGGUGUUUUGUCCAAUAAAUAUGAAGAGUACAUGUGUGCAAAAUCAACCUCAAUAGUUGGUGGUUUGUGUAAUUUCACUUGUAUAUAUGCACCCAGUUUUAAAUUGGAUGUAUGUUUGGUAUGUUUACUCAUUUCAGUCCAUACGUAGUCCAUAUUAAAAAUAUCCAAAACAUCUUAUAAUAAUGAACGAAGGGAGUAUUUGGGUUAUAGUGUCACCAAACACAUGAGCAAAAUAUGCCUUAUAAUUUGUCAAUUUGAGGAUAUGGACAAAUUGUUUCUUUCUUGUGCAUCUGUUGCAUUCGAUCUUCAGGCCCCAUUUUCUUAGUUCACUCAGUCAGUACGUGAACAUCUUAUAAUCCAUCAAACCUGAAUUAGAAAACACUUUGUUGUGUUCCAUUAUACUACCAAACAGCGGAAGAAAGCAGUCUGACUCUGACAUGAAAUCAAGUUCAUUGUUAUUGGUCAGCUCAGGUGUUCCACCGAAUGCCCUGUAAACAAAAUAGUAUGCGUGACAUUACGCAUCAACAUGUGAAGUGUCAGAAUUGGAUCAUGACCAAACGUUUAUUUAUUAUAUGGGUUAGUGUCAGGUCUGCUACUAAAUGUCCUUAAACAGAGUAAAAUACGUGAAUGUCAUCAACAUGUGAGGUGUCAGAACUGGAUCAUUACUGACAUUUUAUUAUUAAGCAUGAGGUUUGACCUAUGCACAGUUGACUAUAACCUGCCAUAGCUCUCAUGGCGCCUGACAGCAUUGUUGUGCAAAUUGUGGUAUGGUUACGACAACAACAACAUCAAAGCCUUUCAUUUCCAAACAAGUUGGGUCGGCUAGAGUUGAAACCCAUAAGAUCUCAAAAUCAAGUUAUAGUUCUGGCAUGUGGAUAGGAACUUCCACGCGUUCUGUCCAUGACUAUUUCCCCGGUGAUAUUCCCGUCCUUUAGAUCUUUCUUUACGUACUCCAAUGUCAUGUUUGGUCUAUCUUGACCUCUCUUGGCAUUGUCAACACGCUUUAACCGUACGCUAUGCCCAGACCAUCUUAUGUUGGACAAGCUUCUUUGCAGUCGGUGCUACCCCAAUUCUACCACGAAUAUCAUCAUUCCGGACCCGAUCCUUUCUUGUGUGGCCACAUAUUCAUCUCAAUAUGUGCAUCUCUGCUACACCUAACUGUUUUACAUGUCCCCUCAUCCAUCUUCAUAUAACAUGGUAGGUCGAAUCGACAUCCUAUAGAACCUGCCUUUUGGGUUUUGUGGCACUCUUGUAACGACGCUAGAAGCUUGGCGCCACCUCAUCCACCCAGCUUUGAUUCAAUGGCUGACAUCUUCAUGGAUAUCACGUUCAUUGACCCCACAUAUCGAAAGGUGACCUUCUGAGGUACCACCUGCCCAUCAAAGCUAACCUACUCGUUCUCAUGCCUAGUAGUACUGAAACCUAACCUCAUGUACUUAGUUUUAGUUCUACUAAGUCUAAAACCUUUCGAUUCCAAAGUCAGUCUCCACAACUCUUAACUUUGUAUUAACCUUUGUCCGACUAUCGUCGACUAGCACCACAUCAUCCACAAAGAGCAUACACCAUGGAUAUCUCCUUGUAUAUCCCUCAUGGCCUCGUCCAUUGCCAAUGCAAAAAGGUAAGGGCUCAAAGCUGACCCUUGAUGCAGUCCUAUUUUAAUCAGAAUGUCAUUAGUGUCGCCAUCACUUGUUCGAACUUGCCACAACAUUAUCGUAGAUGUCCUUGAUAAGGGUAAUGUACUUUCUUGAGUCUUUGUGUUUCUCCAAGGCUCACCACAUGACAUUCUACAGUAUCUUAUUGUAGCUUUCUCCAAGUCAAUGAUCAUGUGCAGGUCCUUAUUCUCCUGAAAAUGGGUUACAUGGUCGAUCUCUCAGGCAUGAAACCAAAUUGAUUACCGAGCAUGCUUGUCAUUCUACUUAAGCGGUGCCCAAGACUCUCCCAUAGCUUCAUUCUAUGGCUCAUCAGCUUAAUCCCACUAUAAUUAGUACAACUUUAAACAUCCCACAUGUUCUUGUAGAUCGGUACUAAUAUACUUCGCCUUCAUUUUUCGGCCAUCUUGUUUGCUCGAAAAAUGAGGUUGAAAAUCUUAAUUAACCAUGCUAUCGCUAUGUCUCAGUGGCCUCUCCACGCCUCAAUAGGGAUACAAUCAGGGUCCAUCGCCCUGUCUGCUUUCAUCCUUUUUAAAGCCUCCCUGACCUCAUUCUCCUGGAUAUUAAAUUAAAUUUACGGGGCAAUUAUUUCCAUGACUUUUUUAUGAACUUUGUCUAAACUUCAAUGAACUUACCCACCUGUCAGCAAGAUAGGAAGAAUGGGAAAAGGGGAGUAAAGAAUUGAGCAGCUCACUUCAAUGAUAAUGCAGAGAGUACUCAAAUUACUAUAUUUGCAUGUUUUAAUCCGGUUCAAGCAGAUACUAGUGUAACAUGGCAACUAUAGGGUAAACCUUAAGACGCGUUUGGUACCGCGCCGGUAAUGUUUUUGCUGUAUCGUAUUCAGGAAGCGCCGCUUUCGGAUAUUCUUGCGUAAAACGUGGAUCGUUUGGUUACUUCGGCCGAGUCCCGAUUUCCAACCCCGGCGAAUUCGGGCGGUUUCAAUUUCGUGAAGGGCUGUAUCGGGAAGCGCGUUUAUGGAAAGCAUCGUCGCCGAAACAAACGCUCGCUACGGUUUUAGAAACCGAUGUAAUCGGAAGCCGCCCUUUUUUCGGCGAACCAAACGCAUCGUUAGUUUCUUUGCUGAUUUGCUUCUUUUCUGUUUCAUCCAGUGGAUUGUAUCUGUCUUUUCCCGGCAAAAGAAAUUAGAUCGCAUCAAGUACCCAUUUGGCUUGUGCGGGAGCUAUGUUGGACUAAUGCUGCUGCUUGAUAGGUCCCACAAACAGAGAUACAGAAGAUUUCUUAAGAGAGCUAGGUGAUGCCGCUCACUUAUAAUAUGCAGCGGCCGAGGAAGACUCUGCGCUUGUAUGAUGCUUUUGUGAAAAGUGUUGUCAUUGCUGCAUAUAUCUUUUCGCUCUUUUGUCCAUAAAUUUUAUGCUGGUUUGGUCUGGCGAUCUAUCUAGUUAUCAACUGAGGUUCGAGGUCUUGUCCAUUUAUUUGAUUUGGUGCCUAUUUUUCUCCUACUAUUGUAAUGAUUGUUUUUUUUAGACAAGUACGAAUUGGUUCAUUUGUACAAAGUACUCCAAGUAACGAGCAAUAUCAGAAGUAGAGAUUGUUUAGCAGUGCUA
Triticum aestivum (bread wheat) is the source of this 5770-nucleotide long non-coding RNA. RefSeq lists it as uncharacterized. NCBI's taxonomy places the organism in Eukaryota, Viridiplantae, Streptophyta, Magnoliopsida, Poales, Poaceae. The transcript is spliced from 2 exons. The record is from RefSeq and is a predicted model, not a curated record.